UCAUUUACACAAGAGUUCCUUCUGAUAAAG
Molecule: non-coding RNA, 30 nt
Filed under: Rattus norvegicus (Norway rat)
Lineage: Eukaryota; Metazoa; Chordata; Mammalia; Rodentia; Muridae
Source: RNAcentral